UUCAUGUUUUUGCCGCACGAUGCUCCUCCAACGGCCAGCAACACACGUCAGAAAGCGCAGCGGUCUUCUUCACGGUUUAUCUGCUCCAAGCGUCUGACGGUUUCUAGACGGGGCACAAAGUGGCGGCUUCAAGAAGGAAAAACUCCAUUGUCGCCGUGAGAAAACGGACGCCACCGUCACAGCCGACGAAAGCUACUCCAGGUACGGUCCCUCUUCACCGACUCUCUCCCCAUGCGCUGUCAGGAGUAGACAGGAGGCACCGAGAGCCCAACGUCGGAGAUCUCCACCACCAUGGAGGCUGGCCAGCGCCAUGCGGCGAGAAAAUCGUCGAUCCAAUGUCCCGGCCUCCUCUGAUGUUUCAGCCCUCCUCCUCCGAUGCCUCCGCCCUCGCCUCGGGCAGGGUCCCUCUUGCCAUGGCUUUCCUCGCCUGUCUCUGCGUCACCGGAUGGUAUGCCCCCCCUGCCCGCACUCCCAAACACUUCGAUCCAGCACCCAAUGCUCCGUCUCAGGUUGAGACAGGAUGCGCAGACCCGGGCGACCUUUCCGACCUUCUCAAGAAGUGCUCCAGCAGCGUGCACGUCUCUCAUCCCCUCAUCACUUCUACUCGCAUUUUUAGUUCUUCUCUUGAUUUGGCCUGACGGCGACACCUGAUUGCAGGUCCCCAAGGUUCUCUUGGUGGAGGACAAGAUUAGGAACUUUAGAUGCAAGUGAGUUUUCAAAUCUUGUUGUGUUAAUUUUUGCUUUGCUGUCUCGAAAUGGCGUGGUGGCAGGGCGAUUAGAAUUAAAAUUGUUGAGGUGGAGAUGGACCUGAGUACUGGCCAAGGCAAAAGCGAGGGGUACAUGUGGGGCGGUGGGGAAACAGGACUGUAGCUAUAGACUUCAACAAGAAGAAGCAACUUCCGUCGUUGGAGUCUACACUAGGACUGGGUUUGACUCCCGUUUCAAGACUAACAUCUACUUUAGCAAGCUGCUGUCCGACCACACACACACGAGACAUAAAUAUGUGUCAUGUUUCAACUUUUAUGAAAAAAAUUUACUCAACGACUCGCACACUACUGAUACUAACAAAUUAUUUAAAAUAAUAACCAUGAUAUAGAAAAUAUAUAAAUUAUUAUGUUAGAUAUGUUUACAUAUUUUAACUAAAAUAUUUGACAUAUAGUAUAACCUUAAAUUGAAAUUCAUAAGUGCAAAUAUAAUUUCUUGAUAUGAAAAAACGAGAAAUAUUGAUACAUUUGGGGCAAUUGGUGUUGAUUGGAGGUGGCUACAUCUUUUUACAAUUUCAAAUUUCUUUGUAGCAAAUAGUCAUUAUGAGAACAAAAAUUAAUAUCCUCUCGAGGUUAGCAAUACUGACAUUUACAGAUCUCCAUUUAUUUAUAGUGUCCCUUCAUACACAAUAAUGCACAUACACAUUUUCUGUUAUUCCAAUCCCUCCUCUACAUAGAUACAACAAAUCUAAUUUGUUCCUUCCUAAUAUCGUAUAUUGGCAUGUUCACUCAUUGUUUGGGAGCAUCACAAUUCACAAACUCCUUUGCACAUGUUGCAACUUUUACUGGAUCAGUUGCGAAGUCAAGAUUUCGGGGAAACAAAUGCCCAUUUCCACUUCAAAGCUUCAAAGCUCGUGCGUGAACUAGGUCCAUCACAAAGGAGAUGUGCGUGAACGCAUUACGCAUACCACUACAAAGCUCGUGCGCUUUCACCAAGUACUAUGACUGCUUGUCAGCAUCCAUUUACACCAAGAACAAGGAAUGUUUCUACCAAAGCGUUAGUUGUGAUUAUUUUGAACUGUAAUGAUCAAUUACAGACUUAAGUAUGUCGAUGAUCAUAUCAUCAUCAGCGGCUGACAACAGCUCAUAUACGUCAGUUCGUGUUGCCGUAAGACCGCCUCCAACAGAUUAUCAAAUAGCUUAUUUAAAAUAUUGUUUUUUACUAUUCUGCA
Long non-coding RNA from Zea mays, 1936 nucleotides. RefSeq lists it as uncharacterized. The transcript has 2 exons. Lineage: Eukaryota; Viridiplantae; Streptophyta; Magnoliopsida; Poales; Poaceae. The record is from RefSeq and is a predicted model, not a curated record.